GUUUAGCCCUGAUUGCAGCGGCAUCCUUUUCUGAAGAAUGAAGAAAAGAUACAGCGGAAAGCAGGUUUCAGC
Molecule: small RNA, 72 nt
Filed under: Tenacibaculum todarodis
Lineage: Bacteria; Pseudomonadati; Bacteroidota; Flavobacteriia; Flavobacteriales; Flavobacteriaceae
Description: Tenacibaculum sp. LPB0136 Flavo-1 RNA
Rfam family: Flavo-1 RNA
Source: Rfam by way of RNAcentral